RNAcentral lists this signal recognition particle RNA (297 nucleotides) under Carlito syrichta (Philippine tarsier). RNAcentral's name for it is "Metazoan signal recognition particle RNA (ENSTSYG00000036709.1)". It matches the Rfam family "Metazoan signal recognition particle RNA". From Rfam's summary of the family: The signal recognition particle (SRP) is a universally conserved ribonucleoprotein. It is involved in the co-translational targeting of proteins to membranes. The eukaryotic SRP consists of a 300-nucleotide 7S RNA and six proteins: SRPs 72, 68, 54, 19, 14, and 9. The record is from RNAcentral. Lineage: Eukaryota; Metazoa; Chordata; Mammalia; Primates; Tarsiidae.
ACUAGGCAUGGUGGCAUGUACCUGUAGUCUCAGCUACUUGGAAGGCUGAGGCAGGAGGAUCAUUUGAGUCCAGGAGUUCUGGGCUGUAGUGUGCUAUGGCAAUCGUGUGUCCACACAAAGUUUAGCAUCCAUAUAAUGACCUCCUGAAGUGGGGGACCACCAAGUUGCCUAAGAAGGAGGGAACUGGCCCAGGUUGGAAACAGAGCAUAUCAAAACUCCCUUGCCAAUCAACAGUGGAAUUGUGCCUGUACUAGCCACUGCACUCUAGCCUGGGCAACAUGGCAAGAUUCUAUCUCU